Molecule: ribosomal RNA, 484 nt
Filed under: uncultured bacterium
Lineage: Bacteria
Description: partial 16S ribosomal RNA
Rfam family: Bacterial small subunit ribosomal RNA
Source: RNAcentral
AGUGAACGCUGGCGGCAGGCCUAACACAUGCAAGUCGAACGGCAGCAGAGUGAUUGCUCCCUCUUACGGCGGCCGAGGGGCGGGUGAUGCCUGGGAACAUCCCUGUCUACGGUUGCGAGGGUCAGAACGUGGGCGAACAUACCCUAAUAGUCCAGAGGGCGAACGUGGGGGAGCUUCGGAUCUCACGCUCUCACGUGAGCCUAGGUCGGAUUAGCUAGUUGGGGGGGUAAAGGCCUACCAAGGCGACGAUCCGUAGCUGGUCUGAGAGGAUGAUCAGCCACACUGGAACUGAGACACGGUCCAGACUCCUACGGGAGGCAGCAGUGGGGAAUAUUGGACAAUGGGCGAAAGCCUGAUCCAGCCAUGCCGCGUGUGUGAAGAAGGUCUUCGGGUUGUAAAGCCCUUUUAGUGGGGAAGAAAAGCAGUAGGUUAAUACCUCGCUGUUUUGACGGUACCCAAAGAAUAAGCACCGGCUAACUUCGUG